RNAcentral lists this ribosomal RNA (216 nucleotides) under Glomeromycotina sp. RNAcentral describes it as "partial small subunit ribosomal RNA". The stretch from base 40 to 216 matches the Rfam family "Eukaryotic small subunit ribosomal RNA", at positions 686 to 864 of the family's 1831-position model. Lineage: Eukaryota; Fungi; Glomeromycota. The record is from RNAcentral.
GGGUCAGUGGGUUGGUCGUGCCACCGGUACGUACUGGUCUCACUGAUUCCUCCUUCCUGAAGAACCGUAAUGCCAUUAAUUUGGUGUUGCGGGGAAACAGGACUGUUACUUUGAAAAAAUUAGAGUGUUUAAAGCAAGCUAACGCUUGAAUACAUUAGCAUGGAGUAAUGAAAUAGGACGAUCGAUCCUAUUUUGUUGGUUUCUAGGAUUGACGUA